RNAcentral lists this long non-coding RNA (541 nucleotides) under Pongo abelii (Sumatran orangutan). RNAcentral's name for it is "lincRNA". Lineage: Eukaryota; Metazoa; Chordata; Mammalia; Primates; Hominidae. The record is from RNAcentral.
GGGAGACCUGCAGAGAGUGUGGGUGCUAGAGCCUUCUGCAGGGCUCGGGACACAUUCCCUGACACACCCAGGCCAAUAAUUUGCACUGGGAUACAGAGAGGAGGCUCGGGGCCUCUGUCAACAGAUUGCCAUCCACUUAGAUGAGUAAAUGGCAUCCAGCACAGUCCUGGGCACAUGAAUUGGUGCUGAUGUUGCUGAAGGAGUGAAUGGGGGCCAGAAGGAAGGAGUGCUGGGGAAGAAGUAAGCCAUGGAGCAGGCAGGAACCACGGACAGAGGCCUCCCAGUCCACUUGGGGACAUAUCCGCAGAUGUGUGAACUCAGAGAGAUGUUCAAGUUUCCUAAGAGGGCUUCAAUCAUGGCUCACAGACUACUAAUUUCCAGUUUCUUCUCUGCCAGUCUGGAUGCCCAUGUGAACUUUAGAGAUAUCCAUCAGCUCCAUCAAUUCCCUCAACUACAUCUACCUAGCUUUUGAGCCCAGAAGAACCCAAUCAUGUGUGUUCUCCUCAGCUCCCAGGCUACUGAGCAAUGCUGGAGAAAAAUC